This 573-nucleotide ribosomal RNA is filed under the name uncultured marine eukaryote. RNAcentral describes it as "SSU rRNA". It matches the Rfam family "Eukaryotic small subunit ribosomal RNA", at positions 619 to 1198 of the family's 1831-position model. The record is from RNAcentral.
UUAAAAAGCUCGUAGUUGGAUUUCGGGAUGGGCCAGUCGGUCUGCUGUGAGGUAAGUUACUGGCUGGUCUGUUCUUCCUCGCAAAGAAUGCGUGUGCUCUUUACUGAGUGGGCGUAGGAUUUGCGACGUUUACUUUGAAAAAAUUAGAGUGUUCAAAGCAGGCUUACCGCUUGAAUACAUGAGCAUGGAAUAAUGGAAUAGGACUUUGGUCUUAUUUUGUUGGUUUCUAAGACUGAGGUAAUGAUUAAGAGGGACAGUUGGGGGCAUUCGUAUUUCGUUGUCAGAGGUGAAAUUCUUGGAUUUACGAAAGACGAACAACUGCGAAAGCAUUUGCCAAGAAUGUUUUCAUUAAUCAAGAACGAAAGUUAGAGGCUCGAAGGCGAUCAGAUACCGUCCUAGUUCUAACCAUAAACGAUGCCGACUAGGGAUCAGCGAGCGUUAUUGUAUGACCUCGUUGGCACCUUAUGGGAGACCAAAGUUUUUGGGUUCCGGGGGAAGUAUGGUUGCAAAGCUGAAACUUAAAGGAAUUGACGGAAGGGCACCACCAGGAGUGGAGCCUGCGGCUUAAUUUGA